This 364-nucleotide ribosomal RNA is filed under the name Dissodactylus crinitichelis. RNAcentral's name for it is "partial 12S ribosomal RNA". The record is from RNAcentral. Lineage: Eukaryota; Metazoa; Arthropoda; Malacostraca; Decapoda; Pinnotheridae.
UAUUAUUCUUAGAUGAAUACGUUCUUAGGUUAGUAAUAGUUAUUUACUUAAAAAUUAAAAAAUUUGGCGGUAGUUUAAUCUCUCCAGAGGAACUUGUUUUUUAAUCGAUAACCCGCGAAGUAUCUUGCUUAUUAAUGUAAAGUUUGUAUACCAUCAUUAUCAGGUAAUUUUGAAAAAGUUAAUUAUUGAAAAUAAAAAGUUUUAUUAAAAUUAGAUCAAGGUGCAGCUGAUGAAUAAGUUAAAAUGAGUUACAAUAAAAUAUUUUAUUACGGAUAAGUAGAUGAAUAUUUGCUUAGAAGGUGGAUUUGGUUGUAUUUAAAAUUUAAUAUGUUUUAAAGAUGAUAGCUCUAAAUUAUGUACAUAU